Molecule: long non-coding RNA, 1152 nt
Filed under: Apteryx rowi (Okarito brown kiwi)
Lineage: Eukaryota; Metazoa; Chordata; Aves; Apterygiformes; Apterygidae
Description: lncRNA (ENSARWG00000009695.1)
Source: RNAcentral
GCGGCGCAGCUGGCGACUGCUGCCACAGGCGGAGGCGGCGGCGGCCCGGUGAGUGCUGCCGGAUGCGCCGCGCGUACCGCCGGUUGCGGCGGGGUCCUGCGGGGCCGCCCGGCCUGCCUGGGGCCCACUCCUCGCUGCCAUGGCCAGCCUGCCGACCGGCGCCUGGUGCCGGGGGGCCGUCUCGCUGCGGCGGCGGCGGCGUCUGCCUCGGGGGCCGCGGCCCGUGGGGCUGCGGCGUGGCCCGGCCGAGGGGCCGGAGCUGCUGCCGGUCGUGCCACCGAGGGAGGCGGCAGAGGUGUGACGUGCUGGCGCGCCCGCCGGUAGCUGUGCACGGGGUCCCUUGCCAGAGGUGCUGCCUCGGCACCGCCGUGCGGGUGAGGCCUGGCCGUGCUUUCCUCAGGAUUCUGCACAUCCAGAGAAGAAAAUAUCUGCGAGUCACUGUUGAUGAUGUGUACUCCAAAAAGUCAGCUCAAGGUUUAGUGAAAAUCAAAAAGCAAAUAGAAUAUUAAGAAUUACCAGGUUGGGAUGCCAUCUUAUCUUUCAUAAAAACUAAAUGCCUUCUUGAUUCUCUCCAACCACAAGAGAAGAGGGGGACACAUCAUUGUGAGGGACAGAGCACUUAAAAAAGGAGGUAGGUAAAGGCAAAUAGCUCAAAAAUAAGGUAAUGGAGGGAAUGCUGAGCUGAGUACUCACUGCUCCCUGAGGCUGAGGUGUUGAUAAAUGAUGUUUUGAGUCAUGCUCUACCUGGAGAAAUGACAGGACAAGGGCCUGGAAAUAGAUUCUACAGUCAAUGAAUUUCCCCCAGACUUUCUCCACAAAAAAUUGUGUCUGACUGGCUUAAUAAUGGCCAGAAGGCAUUUGUUGAAGAGGUUACACAGUGGGACCUUGGAUGUGGAGGGUAUGAAUCAAAAGGUUGAUUGGGGGCAGGGUGCACRGAAAGUGCAACCAGUACUUCUAUAAGAGAUUCUGGAAGAACUGGAGGAGAGCAGAUGCCUAGGGUGCUAAGUGUAGAUGUCUGUCUGUCUUCUGAAAUACUAAACUAGAAUGUUGCCUUAAGUUUAUGUUUUUCAGACAUCUUUUCUCUCUAUCGUUGCAUUUCUCUGACCAAAAAGUCUCCUGAAUACAAACGUGUAUCCAGGUACUCGAUUUUCA